RNAcentral lists this ribosomal RNA (433 nucleotides) under uncultured bacterium. Its description in RNAcentral is "bacterial SSU rRNA". It matches the Rfam family "Bacterial small subunit ribosomal RNA", at positions 957 to 1391 of the family's 1533-position model. The record is from RNAcentral.
GAACGCGAAGAACCUUACCUGGUCUUGACAUGUACGGAAUCCUUCAGAGACGGAGGAGUGCCUUCGGGAGCCGUAACACAGGUGCUGCAUGGCUGUCGUCAGCUCGUGUCGUGAGAUGUUGGGUUAAGUCCCGCAACGAGCGCAACCCUUGUCAUUAGUUGCCAUCAUUUAGUUGGGCACUCUAAUGAGACUGCCGGUGACAAGCCGGAGGAAGGUGGGGAUGACGUCAAGUCCUCAUGGCCCUUAUGACCAGGGCUUCACACGUCAUACAAUGGUCGGUACAGAGGGUAGCCAAGCCGCGAGGUGGAGCCAAUCUCACAAAACCGAUCGUAGUCCGGAUUGCACUCUGCAACUCGAGUGCAUGAAGUCGGAAUCGCUAGUAAUCGCAGGUCAGCAUACUGCGGUGAAUACGUUCCCGGGUCUUGUACACACC